Molecule: long non-coding RNA, 1272 nt
Organism: Passer domesticus (house sparrow)
Lineage: Eukaryota; Metazoa; Chordata; Aves; Passeriformes; Passeridae
Exons: 3
Source: RefSeq, a predicted model, not a curated record
CCGGACAGUGCUGACCCCUGGGACACCUGUGAUGCCAAAGUGGUGAGCCCAGAGAACGGGAACCUGUGGGAUUGCCAGGAGCCCCAGCAGCCCAGAGAGAGGGAACACCAAUACAAACCUGACCCGCAGCAACCCAGACAGGGGGGGCCUCCAGGAGCCCAAAGUGGAGAGACCAGAGAGGUGAAACCCAGGGUUGGGUGGUUUGGCUGAAUCUUGGUAAUUUGUGUAUUUUGGUGGACUGAGUCUUGGUGUUUAGAGCGUUCGUGGUGACUUCUAGAGUGUGGAGGCGCAGAGGCCAACACUGGAACUGCAAUACCUCAGGGCAAAGGUGACCAGGGUCAGAGAGAGACACCCCUCUGAGUACAAUGGUCUCACCAUAAGCAUUUGCAGGCUCACGUUAAUGCAGCAGGCUUCAUUGGUAUCACCCAGCUGCCCUUUUUUCCUUAUAUGUACUCCCCGACAAUGUUCUCCCCUCUCUUGUCCCCCAUUGGUCCCAGUUUACUGCAAUGUUCCGCCCCUGUUACCUCAUUGGUUCCCCAGUUGCCUGCCCCUCCUCUGCACCACCUGUGCUCAGUUCCCAUUGGCCCUUGACCCUGAGGUCCGCCCCUUUCCCCCUGAUCAAACCCUGUGUCCUCAACCCCAUUUUGUCUCUGUCCCUGGACCCUCUACAUUGCAAUAAACUGUGUUUGGAGCUCUGCACAAAGAGCCGUCUCUGGCCUUGUCCAUCAGCAGGAUUUCUGAUUCCCAAACCUUGGGUGGAUGGAGGCUGCCAGGAAGAGGAAGAUGCCCCAGGACACCCAGGCAGAGACCAGGGAGGACAAAUCUCUGCGGCAGAACCUUGUGGAAGAGGCCAUUUUGAGCGACGCCACGGGGCAGGAAUCCAACGGGGAGGAAAAGCCACUGAGAUCCCCCAGGAGGAGGGGCUGCAAACCCAACCUCGGGUGCUGUGAGGAGGAAAGACCCACCCUGAGGCAGGAGGGUAGACAGAGCUUCAGCCAGGGAUCAGAGCUGGUGGCCCAUGGGCAGCUUCAUGGUGGGGAGAAGCCCUACAAGUGCUUGGAGUGUGGGAAGAGCUUCAGGCAGAGCUCACACCUGAUCAGCCACCAGAUGAUCCACACUGGGGAAUGGGCCUACGAGUGUGGGGAGUGUGGGAAGGGCCUCAGGUGCAGCUCAGAACUCGUCAGGCAUGAACGCAUCCACACUGGGGAAAGGCCCUACGAGUGUCCCCAUUGUCUGAAGAGGUUUCAGACCAGCUCCAGUCUCCUGCGCCAC